Molecule: ribosomal RNA, 425 nt
Filed under: uncultured bacterium
Lineage: Bacteria
Description: bacterial SSU rRNA
Rfam family: Bacterial small subunit ribosomal RNA
Source: RNAcentral
AGGGAAUCUUCCGCAAUGGACGCAAGUCUGACGGAGCAACGCCGCGUGAGUGAUGAAGGCCUUCGGGUCGUAAAACUCUGUUGUUAGGGAAGAACAAGUAUCGGAGUAACUGCCGGUACCUUGACGGUACCUAACGAGGAAGCCACGGCUAACUACGUGCCAGCAGCCGCGGUAAUACGUAGGUGGCAAGCGUUGUCCGGAUUUAUUGGGCGUAAAGGGCGCGCAGGCGGUCUCUUAAGUCUGAUGUGAAAUCUUGCGGCUCAACCGCAAGCGGUCAUUGGAAACUGGGAGACUUGAGUGCAGAAGAGGAGAGUGGAAUUCCACGUGUAGCGGUGAAAUGCGUAGAGAUGUGGAGGAACACCAGUGGCGAAGGCGACUCUCUGGUCUGUAACUGACGCUGAGGCGCGAAAGCGUGGGGAGCAAAC